AUGGUAGUGAAAAUGAUGGCGACCGAUGCAGAGGAGAUAAGAAACCAAACAAGCCCCUGCCCUAUCCCCGACAACAGUCUCAGCACUCUGUCCAUCAAAAUCACGCGGAAAAACCAGGAUAGACACUGGAAGUUGCGGUCUAUUUACCUGCAGUGCUAUUUCUUGACCAUUGCAACAAUAUUGGGAACUGGAAUCUUAGGUCUUCCAGUGACGAUAGCCCAUGCUGGAUUGUUGCCUUUCCUCGUCUCGUUUCUCGUUGGCUUCUUUGUCCAGGCUUUGCUUAUCUACCUGUUUGUGGAACUUCUUCAGAAAUGUCAGGUGGUUCAGCUGGAAUCUCUGAAGACAGGUGUCGCCGAAUGUAUCUCGAUGGAUCAGGUGGGCGUGGAGGAUCCGGCACCCACAGAGGACGAGGAUGAGGACGAGGGUGAAAAUGCAGAGGCGGAUACCGGUUUACUACAGUCAGAUGGAGUAGCUUUGCACAACCAAGCUGAGUGCCUGCAGCCCAACCUUCAUCUGCUCGGCUACAUCUUCCUCUCCCGGCCCAUGAGCCACGCCUUUAACUGCAUCCUCCUCUUCCAGUUUAUUUCUAUUGGAAUCAGUUAUGUGUUAGCUGGCAGUGAGGCCUUUGCUGCUCUUCUUAAUGUCAGCCACAUCUACGUGAUCCCGGCCUUCACCUGGAUUCUAACUCUUGCAAUCUUACUGGCCCACACAAUCAUCCAACCAAUCACGUCUCUGCUUACCCUGCUGAAAGGACUUCUGCUCAUUGUCACGGUGGCUGUGACAUUUGCGGUGGGGUCUGAGGUUGGCCUUCAGAGCAGCAGUGACUUCAGUCAGAUGGGGAAACCUUUCCUAAUGGGAACAGUGGCUCUGGGGGGGAUAGUAAACGUGAUGCCUCUGCUCUUCUCGCAGAUCUCUCACAACAAAACACAGAUCCUGUGGUUUCGGAGAGCAGUGCUUGGAGGUCUGACAACCUGCACUGUGCUCAACAUCCUCUGGGCAGAGGGUCAAGGAUUGUGGAGGCAGGUAAUCGGGGGGGCUUUGUUUAGGCACAGUAAUCAUUAG
RNAcentral lists this long non-coding RNA (1062 nucleotides) under Dicentrarchus labrax (European seabass). RNAcentral's name for it is "lncRNA (ENSDLAG00005034613.1)". Lineage: Eukaryota; Metazoa; Chordata; Actinopteri; Moronidae. The record is from RNAcentral.